Long non-coding RNA from Prunus dulcis (almond), 583 nucleotides. RefSeq lists it as uncharacterized. The transcript is spliced from 3 exons. Lineage: Eukaryota; Viridiplantae; Streptophyta; Magnoliopsida; Rosales; Rosaceae. The record is from RefSeq and is a predicted model, not a curated record.
UCAAAGCUGGUUACGCUUCUGCACCCUAUUAGCGAUACGCUGGCACGAGUGCUGUUCGAUAUGCACUUUUAUGAUGAUUCUGAGGUUGAAGAGGUGAAGCAAAAGGGGCUGACGAUGUCGAUGUAUACGCCAUUCUCAGUGUGCAGCAUUGCAGAUGUGCCACAACAACGAGAUGGUGCGUCUUGCGGAAUCUUGACCGUCAAAUUCAUCGAGCAUCUCAGUGCUGGGAUGUCGGUAGAUAAAGUUGACCCUUUGAAGAUCAAAUAUUACCGACUCAAGCUUGCAAUUGAGGGUUUAAGGGGGGAGGCAUAUUUAUGAGGUCGGUCUCAACCAAGGGUUGAUUGCAAUAUUCCAACCAAGAUGACCAUACACUGUUAUUUGAUGUAGGUUUUUUGUAUGACAUGGCUUUGCUUUAAUUGGUUUGGUUGUUCCAAGUUUUAUGUACACAAUCUCACAGUAACUGCCGAGUCGUUUUUCAUUUCAUGUAUUUGUCCGUGGUAUUUUGUUCCCCAAUAUUCUGAUUAUGGUCAAUAUGUAAACAUUACUGUGGAGCUUAUUGCAUGUUUUCUUUAUUUUGUGGCCA